UACGUAGGGGGCAAGCGUUAUCCGGAUUUACUGGGUGUAAAGGGAGCGUAGACGGUAAAGCAAGUCUGAAGUGAAAUGCCAGUGCUCAACACUGGAACUGCUUUGGAAACUGUUUGGCUGGAGUGCAGGAGAGGUAAGUGGAAUUCCUAGUGUAGCGGUGAAAUGCGUAGAUAUUAGGAGGAACACCAGUGGCGAAGGCGGCUUACUGGACUGUAACUGACGUUGAGGCUCGAAAGCGUGGGGAGCAAACA
RNAcentral lists this ribosomal RNA (251 nucleotides) under uncultured bacterium. Its description in RNAcentral is "partial 16S ribosomal RNA". It matches the Rfam family "Bacterial small subunit ribosomal RNA", at positions 524 to 774 of the family's 1533-position model. The record is from RNAcentral.